RNAcentral lists this ribosomal RNA (980 nucleotides) under uncultured bacterium. Its description in RNAcentral is "bacterial SSU rRNA". It matches the Rfam family "Bacterial small subunit ribosomal RNA", at positions 8 to 1018 of the family's 1533-position model. The record is from RNAcentral.
AGAGUUUGAUCAUGGCUCAGAAUCAACGCUGGCGGCGCGCUUAACACAUGCAAGUCGCACGAGAAAGCGGGAGCAAUCUCGCAAGUAAAGUGGCGUACGGGUGAGUAACACGUGGGUAAUCUACCUUUUAGUGGGGAAUAACCCUGGGAAACCGGGGCUAAUACCGCAUAAGCUCGGAAGAGGAAAGCAGCAAUGCGCUGAAAGAGGAGCCCGCGGCCGAUUAGCUAGUUGGGAGGGUAAAAGCCUACCAAGGCAAAGAUCGGUAGCCGGCCUGAGAGGGCACACGGCCACACUGGCACUGAAACACGGGCCAGACUCCUACGGGAGGCAGCAGUGGGGAAUCUUGCACAAUGGGGGAAACCCUGAUGCAGCGACGCCGCGUGAGCGAUGAAGCCCUUCGGGGUGUAAAGCUCUUUCGGCAGGGACGAUGAUGACGGUACCUGCAGAAGCAGCUGCGGCUAACUACGUGCCAGCAGCCGCGGUAAUACGUAGGCAGCGAGCGUUGUUCGGAGUUACUGGGCGUAAAGGGUGUGUAGGCGGUUUUCUAAGUUUGGUGUGAAAUCUCCCGGCUCAACCGGGAGGGUGCGCCGAAAACUGGGAGACUAGAGUGCGGGAUGGGAGAGUAGAAUUCCUGGUGUAGCGGUGAAAUGCGUAGAUAUCAGGAGGAAUACCGGUGGUGUAGACGGCUCUCUGGACCGCCACUGACGCUGAGACACGAAAGCGUGGGUAGCAAACAGGAUUAGAUACCCUGGUAGUCCACGCCCUAAACGAUGCAUAUUUGGUGUAGGUCAUUCAGUUGAUCUGUGCCGGAGCUAACGCGUUAAAUAUGCCGCCUGGGGAGUACAGUCGCAAGGCUGAAACUCAAGGAAUUGACGGGGGCCCGCACAAGCGGUGGAGCAUGUGGUUCAAUUCGACGCAACGCGAAGAACCUUACCUGGGCUCGAACGGCUGGUUAACGGCAUUGGAAACAGUGCUACUCG